UGAAUGUUUGUCCAUACUCACAGUAAUUCCUAGUACGGAAUAUAAAAGCAACCAAUUAAUUUUUGGAAAUUGUGGAAGUGCCAAGUAUGCCGUAUACGUAUAUUUAUUGUUCAUGUGAAAUUUAAGGGAUAAGAUGCUUCCUUUGGAAAAAUGAACGUAAAUAGAGGAUUUGCCAUAUAACAAGAACAAAUAAUGAGAUAAAAGUAAGAUAUGCAAAAUUCUUGACACGCUCAUUAGUACUUUCAUUAGUGUUUCUGAAUCUAGCUUCGCGAGCUUGCAAAUAGUAAAUUUUUCCUUUGAUUUCUUCAAUGAAGUCUCUUGCACGACGGAUAUCAGCUUCUACAGGUUCCAAGUUGUUUGCUUUUUGCAAUGAAGAAUAAUCAUCGGCGUCAGCGCCUACAGUAAACUCAAGUUUGACGGAUCGCUUUUUAUGUUCAGACUCUAUAGCACCUACAUUUAAAUGUCAGUCAGA
Molecule: non-coding RNA, 472 nt
Organism: Schizosaccharomyces pombe (fission yeast)
Lineage: Eukaryota; Fungi; Ascomycota; Schizosaccharomycetes; Schizosaccharomycetales; Schizosaccharomycetaceae
Source: the annotation of a GenBank genome assembly